This 416-nucleotide ribosomal RNA is filed under the name Enterobacteriaceae bacterium. RNAcentral's name for it is "bacterial SSU rRNA". It matches the Rfam family "Bacterial small subunit ribosomal RNA", at positions 380 to 788 of the family's 1533-position model. The record is from RNAcentral. Lineage: Bacteria; Pseudomonadati; Pseudomonadota; Gammaproteobacteria; Enterobacterales; Enterobacteriaceae.
AGCCUGAUGCAGCCAUGCCGCGUGUAUGAAGAAGGCCUUCGGGUUGUAAAGUACUUUCAGCGGGGAGGAAGGGAGUAAAGUUAAUACCUUUGCUCAUUGACGUUACCCGCAGAAGAAGCACCGGCUAACUCCGUGCCAGCAGCCGCGGUAAUACGGAGGGUGCAAGCGUUAAUCGGAAUUACUGGGCGUAAAGCGCACGCAGGCGGUUUGUUAAGUCAGAUGUGAAAUCCCCGGGCUCAACCUGGGAACUGCAUCUGAUACUGGCAAGCUUGAGUCUCGUAGAGGGGGGUAGAAUUCCAGGUGUAGCGGUGAAAUGCGUAGAGAUCUGGAGGAAUACCGGUGGCGAAGGCGGCCCCCUGGACGAAGACUGACGCUCAGGUGCGAAAGCGUGGGGAGCAAACAGGAUUAGAUACCCC